GAUGAACGCUGGCGGCGUGCCUAAUACAUGCAAGUCGAGCGAAUGGAUUAAGAGCUUGCUCUUAUGAAGUUAGCGGCGGACGGGUGAGUAACACGUGGGUAACCUGCCCAUAAGACUGGGAUAACUCCGGGAAACCGGGGCUAAUACCGGAUAACAUUUUGAACCGCAUGGUUCGAAAUUGAAAGGCGGCUUCGGCUGUCACUUAUGGAUGGACCCGCGUCGCAUUAGCUAGUUGGUGAGGUAACGGCUCACCAAGGCAACGAUGCGUAGCCCACCUGAGAGUGUGAUCGGCCAACCUGGGACUGAGACACGGCCCAGACUCCUACGGGAGUCAGCAGUAGGGAAUUUUCCGCAAUGGACGAAAGUCUGACGGAGCAACGCCGCGUGAGUGAUGAAGGCUUUCGGGUCGUAAAACUCUGUUGUUAGGGAAGAACAAGUGCUAGUUGAAUAAGCUGGCACCUUGACGGUACCUAACCAGAAAGCCACGGCUAACUACGUGCCAGCCGCCGCUGUAA
This 515-nucleotide ribosomal RNA is filed under the name uncultured bacterium. RNAcentral describes it as "partial 16S ribosomal RNA". It matches the Rfam family "Bacterial small subunit ribosomal RNA", at positions 28 to 523 of the family's 1533-position model. The record is from RNAcentral.